RNAcentral lists this ribosomal RNA (440 nucleotides) under uncultured bacterium. RNAcentral describes it as "partial 16S ribosomal RNA". It matches the Rfam family "Bacterial small subunit ribosomal RNA", at positions 338 to 795 of the family's 1533-position model. The record is from RNAcentral.
CCUACGGGAGGCAGCAGUCGAGAAUCUUUCACAAUGGGGGAAACCCUGAUGCUGCGACGCCGCGUGCGCGACGCAGGCCCUCGGGUUGUAAACCGCUUUCAGCAGGGAAGAUCCAAGACGGUACCUGCAGACGAAGCUCCGGCUAACUCCGUGCCAGCAGCCGCGGUACUAUGUAGGGGCCGAGCGUUAUCCGGAUUCAUGGGGCGUAAAGCGCGCGUAGGGGGCCGCCUAAGCGGGUGCUCAAACCCCGGGGCUCACCCCCGGGCCGGGUCCCGGACUGGGCGGCUCGAGUGCGGUAGAGGCGAGCGGAAUUCCUGGUGUAGCGGUGGAAUGCGGAGAUAUCGGGAAGAACACCGAUGGCGAAGGCAGCUUUCUGGGCCGUCACUGACGCUGAGGCGCGAAAGCUGGGGGAGCGAACAGGAUUAGAUACCCUGGUAGUC